UACCUGUGCAGUGCCGCCACACUGUGCAGUUUUUUUCUCACAGAGAUAUGCUCUCUUCAAUGUUAAGAAAGAAAAAUAAUUUUUGAGUAUUUCAAUAUUUAAAAAAAAGAAGAAGAAAUUAGUGUUAAAUAUUUCAAUAGUACAAUGGGCUGUAGAACUCGAGACGUUUUCUGUAUCGACUCGACUUGCCUUGGAUCUGUUGACAUUUGUACUCAGACUUGGGCAUUGGUCUUGCUCAAUAUGGUCUUAGUCUUGAUUGAGAGUAAAAAUAAUUUGCCUUUUCUUUUUGCAUACACAAAUUUAGGCAAGUAGUAACUCCUUGUAGAAAACCAGCCUGAUCAUCAUAACACUCAUAUGAAGCCAAAUAGCUGAAGGAAAGGCCUGUGGAAAUUAAGGAUUUGAAUUGUCCUUGACCCCCACUUGGUCUUGACUCAAACUCCUUAUCUUGGCCUUCAAAAUGGCAGUCUUGAUUAUAGCUCUAUACUGUAUUUUAGUAGUCAUCAAUCUAGCUUCAGUAAACAUUAUCAGAUUUAUAAACACUCCAGUCUGCCAGGGGGCAGUGGAGAUAGUUACAGGUCAUAUGUGCUAUUAGUUAUGCAUAAAAAAGCCAUUAUUUCAUUUUUGUCUGGCAAACUGUAUAAAAAAUUAAGCAUGAUGCAAACCUAUAUGAAUAAAUCAGGAAUAUAAUAGCAACUAAGCUAAGCAUGGAAUAGUCCUCAAACAUCCAGCAAUACUCCAUACUGUCCAUAACCUGUUCCACAUUUUCACCAAGUAAAAUUGUGACUUUCUAUAAAUUUAUACAAAAUAUCUUUCAUCUUUGUGCUCAGACAAGAGACUUCUGUUCAUUUCUUAAAGGUCAGUUAUGAAUUUAUACAUGAAUGAUUUACAUUAAUAUCAUCUUUAAUAUUUAACGUACCUUAAAGGGAGGUAAAUUAUUUUAGUUGGAGAUUGGUGCAACAAUUAGACAUAACUUUUAAUAAUAAUUCAUUUGUCGGUUUAUCUCCCAGGACGGAGAUAUAAUCUCAGUCAUGUUCAAGUGAGUAGUGAACUUAUACAGAUGUGUGACUAACGCAGUAAAGCACCAAUCAGUCUGUUUUUCAGAUCGCAAAAUGGCAAAACAGGCAACUAAUACGACAAAAAAAGACAUUUAUUGUGAUUACAGGGAAAAAAAAUCUUUUAAAUUUUGUGUAUAUGGUAUGACAUUUCCUCUACAGAAAAGAUUUUGGUCAAACAGUAAUAAAUAAAUAAAUAACUCUCAAAUAUUUAUAUUAUUAUAAUACAUUUCAGUUAAAUAAAAACGAGCUAAUGAUCUAGCUAAUUUUAGGUCAUGUUUUAGCAAAAAUAUUUCAGGUAAUGUUCUAGCAGGAAUGUUUUAGGUAAUGUUCUAGCGGGACAUAAUUUUAGGUAAUGUUCUAGCAGGAAUGUUUUAGGUAAUGUUCUAGCAGGAAUGUUUUAGGUAAUGUUCCAGCAGGAAUAUUUUAAUUAAUGUUCUAGCAAGAAUAUUUUUAAGUAAUGUUCUAGCAAGAAUAUUUCAAGUAAUGUUCUAGCAAGAAUAUUUUAGGUAAUGUUCUAGCAGGAAACUUCAGGUAAUGUUCUAGCAGGAAACUUUAGGAAUUUUUUAAGGCAUUGUAGCAGACACCCUUGUCUGCCAUGGGCGACUUACCAUUAUCUCAUUUAUACAACUGAGCAGUUGAGGGUUAAGGGCCUAGUUCAAGGGCCCAGUAGUGGCAGCUUGGCAAUCUGGAAUUUGAACUCAAACCUUCUGAUCAGUAGUCCAUCAUCAUAACCACUGAGCUACUACUACCCUGAUUCUGAUAUUCAUGAAAUCAGAAAAUUGCCAAGAGAGAAAUGUUAAUUGAUUCUAUUUGAUAGUUUUUUAAUGUUGAAAUGUUUGAUUUAGUGUGUAGAUGCUCUUUCCUCAUUUGAUAACCAUGUCACACAUUAUUCAAAACAUCAUAACAUGGGUGUUGUUAUGAUGUUUUAAAUAAACAUCAUACUCGCUACCCGAUCAGUAGCGUGCAACUUCAGUAAUGCAUUUCUCAGGAACAACCCAUGUGCAUGCCAUGAUUAUCUGAUCUGACUGUAGUAUUUUCACUUUUCAUUCAUUUUCAUUCAUGCCCAACAAUUCACUCGAAUUGUUUACUGGAACUACAGCUAUGUAUGGGGCAUGAAUAGCAGACCAAUUAAAAUCAACUCAUGUCAAAAGGGAUCCAUCAUUGCAAAAUACAGAUCACUGCAACACAUCAGAAAAAAGCACUAUCAUCCUGAAAACAUCUCAAAUAGUUUUAGAGGCGGAUUCAGAUUCAUUUUACUUACAGCGUCAAAUAUAAACAUACCAUCAAACAUAAAAACCCAUAUCAGUGAUAUUAGUAAUAAUAAUUAACACUUGCAUUAAUUUGGGUUUAUUUCAGUGUUAACUAAAUAAUAAAUGAUCACAUU
This is a long non-coding RNA of Ictalurus punctatus (channel catfish), 2439 nucleotides long. The record is from Ensembl. Lineage: Eukaryota; Metazoa; Chordata; Actinopteri; Siluriformes; Ictaluridae.